UACGUAGGGUCCGAGCGUUGUCCGGAAUUACUGGGCGUAAAGAGCUCGUAGGCGGUUUGUCACGUCUGCUGUGAAAACUGGAGGCUCAACCUCCAGCCUGCAGUGGGUACGGGCAGACUAGAGUUCGGCAGGGGAGACUGGAAUUCCUGGUGUAGCGGUGAAAUGCGCAGAUAUCAGGAGGAACACCGACGGCGAAGGCAGCACUCUGGGCCGGUACUGACGCUGGAGGAGCGAAAGCCAUGGGGAGGCGAACAGG
Molecule: ribosomal RNA, 256 nt
Filed under: uncultured bacterium
Lineage: Bacteria
Description: partial 16S ribosomal RNA
Rfam family: Bacterial small subunit ribosomal RNA
Source: RNAcentral